Molecule: unclassified non-coding RNA, 1873 nt
Filed under: Hevea brasiliensis (rubber tree)
Lineage: Eukaryota; Viridiplantae; Streptophyta; Magnoliopsida; Malpighiales; Euphorbiaceae
Source: RNAcentral
AAGAAGAAGAAAAAGAAGAAGAUUAGAAGAAAGAGAUUCGAGAAACAGAACAACUGCCAUAGCUCUAAUAAUUGUUUCUAACUUUUUUUCUCUUUUAUAAUUCACUUAUUCCUAAAACUUCUUCUAUAUGUAACUUAGAUGAAGUCAUCAAGCAAUCAAGCAUAUCUAGUGAAAUUGUUGGAAAAGAAGUCCUUUCGGCAACAUUUUAUAGACUAAGAAACAUUACCAGAAACUUUGUGUUUUAAAUGAAGCAACUCCACAAUACUCAACAAGAUGACAAUCAAUUGAAUGUUUCAACUUAGAAACUGGGAACAUGACUAUAGAUAUCAAUGUUAAAACCUUAUGCUAAAAAUAAAAGCAAUUGUAAAUUAAACAAUAUACAAAAAUUUGGACAUUAACACCAAGAUACCUAAGAAAACAUUUACAUACAUAGAACAUAAUCAUUUCUUAUUACAAAAUAAAAAUGAAAAAUGCAAUACUAAUGCAAAUAUCUAGGCCACAUGCUGUGAAGAAAACUUAUGUAUAGCAAAGAUAUUACCAUAUGUUGUACAAUUGUAUACAUAGAAUUUUAUUAAAAAUAAAAAAUAAAAUAAAUAUUUACACCUGUCAAGACUGUUACCCCAGUAUUUCCUCAAAAUUUUCCCCCCAAUGCCAUCACUCUCUUCAAAUACAAGCAGCUAGAUUGAAUAUGCAUCUAUUUCUAGACCCAUCAUAUUUCCACAUAACAUAAAUAAAAUGAUCCAUUAAACCUAAGCCAAAUCAAUCAUAAUAGCAUGAAAACAAAUGUAAAAAUACACAUCCAUCCUUCUAAUCCGUAAUGAUCUAGGUUUUUAACAAAAAUAAAACAUAUGAAUAAAAAAAGAAAACUUUCGAUUAAAUAAAUCAAAACAAUCAAAAUUUUAAAAAAUAAAAAAUAAAAAAAAUAGAGAGAAAAGGUAUGGAAAUCCUCACAAACAACACCAUAACCCUCCUCCCUUAAUCGCAAAUCGAACACACGACCAAUAAUGAUGGCACAACUACAAUUAAAUCAAGCAGAUUUUUGAGGAGUUCAGGUUCACCUUGUCAGAUUCUUCAUUGUGCUCGAAUUCAGGCGCAACUCAUUUUAAUUUUAUUAGAAUCAACUUCAGCCCACGUAUAGUUCACUUAUCAACUUGCAAGCUCAACUCAUAUUUUGUCAAGCUUAGAAAAUUGAAUCACAUUUAACUUGUUUAUCAAGCUCGAAAGCUUAAGCACGACUCAUUAUUAAGUUUAACAAACCAAAUUGCUAAACAACCUAAUAAUUAUUUUUAUUAAUUAUUAUAUAAAAAAUUUGUAUUAAUUUUUAUUCAUCUUGAUCAAAAUAGGUCAAAUAAAUCAAAAUAACAAAACUAAUAAUUAUAUUCACCUUUGAUUAAAUUAUGAAAAGAACAUAAUUAAUACUUAACGAAACAUAAAAUGAUUAUAUUCUAACAAGGUUUUCACAAGCCUCUAAAUGAACCAGAUAUCAAGUUUAUAAACAUAUUAAGUAGCUGACUCACAACUUCUUAAUUAGUAAGCGAGCAGAAACAACCUUUUUAUCGAGUUCAGGGUCCUAAAAAAAAUCAAAAUAAGAAUGAUAAAAUUGAAACAUAAAUUGCAAAAAAAAUUAAAUCUAAGAAAACAGAGAACAGAGAACAAAGGGUAAGAGGGGAAAAAUAAUUUCAAAAAAAUUGUGAUAAAAUAAAGAGAGAUUUAACAGAAAAAAUCAUCGCCAUCCUUAUUAAAGAGGCUGACGGCUUCCUUGAACUUAGAGAUCUGGUCGUCGGUGAGCUAAUCGACCAUAUUUGAAGCUAUGUGUUGUGAGACAGAAAAAAGGAAGAAAAUACAAAGAGGAGAAAAUGAUAAUAACAUGCGC